This is an RNA transcript of Brassica napus (rape), 631 nucleotides long. It is a transcript of the gene named NADH dehydrogenase [ubiquinone] 1 beta subcomplex subunit 10-B, with no coding region annotated. The transcript has 3 exons. The record is from RefSeq and is a predicted model, not a curated record. NCBI's taxonomy places the organism in Eukaryota, Viridiplantae, Streptophyta, Magnoliopsida, Brassicales, Brassicaceae.
UGUCCCAACUAAAAAUCAAUCGACGAAAGAGAAGAGAAAAGAAGCAAUGGGGAGAAAGAAGGGAUUGCCGGAGUUCGAAGAGACGGCGCCGGAUGGAUUUGAUCCGGAGAAUCCGUACAAGGAUCCGGUGGCGAUGGUGGAAAUGAGAGAGCACAUCGUUAGGGAGAAGUGGAUCCAAAUCGAGAAGGCUAAGAUCUUGAGGGAGAAGGUGAAAUGGUGUUACCGCGUGGAAGGCGUCAACCACUACCAGAAAUGCCGUCUUCUCGUACAGCAGUAUCUCGACUCCACUCGCGGCGUCGGCUGGGGAAAAGAUCACCGUCCUAUCUCCCUCCACGGUCCUAAGCCUGAGGCUGUUGAAGCUGAAUAAUAAUUCUUGGCGUCUGAUCAACCUGAGGUGAUGUGAGUAAGUUGUUCUCGGUGAUGGUGACCGAGCUUCUUGCACAAGACAUGAAAUGGUCUUUGGACUGUGCAGAUUUGCUCCUGUUUUCUUUUUUUCUGUUCUUUUGGAAACAUGGCAGUUUUUGGACUGUAGAUUCAUGUAAACCUUUGUUCGAGCUUGAGUAAUGUAUUGCUACACUCAACAGUCAAUACUAGUCUCUCGUUAUCAAAUAAGACUCUUUAUCCACUGUUA